GAGGGGUAUAGGUUUUCGGACCUAGAGACCGGCGCACGGGUGCGUAACGCGUAUGCAAUCUACCUUUUACAGAGGGAUAGCCCAGAGAAAUUUGGAUUAAUACCUCAUAGUAUUAUUGAAUGGCAUCAUUUAAUAAUUAAAGUUCCAACGGUAAAAGAUGAGCAUGCGUCCCAUUAGCUAGAUGGUAAGGUAACGGCUUACCAUGGCGACGAUGGGUAGGGGUCCUGAGAGGGAGAUCCCCCACACUGGUACUGAGACACGGACCAGACUCCUACGGGAGGCAGCAGUGAGGAAUAUUGGUCAAUGGGCGCAAGCCUGAACCAGCCAUGCCGCGUGCAGGAUGACGGUCCUAUGGAUUGUAAACUGCUUUUGUACAGGAAGAAACAGUUCUACGUGUAGAACCUUGACGGUACUGUAAGAAUAAGGAUCGGCUAACUCCGUG
Molecule: ribosomal RNA, 442 nt
Filed under: uncultured bacterium
Lineage: Bacteria
Description: bacterial SSU rRNA
Rfam family: Bacterial small subunit ribosomal RNA
Source: RNAcentral